RNAcentral lists this long non-coding RNA (255 nucleotides) under Bos taurus (domestic cattle). RNAcentral's name for it is "long non-coding RNA NONBTAT018776". Lineage: Eukaryota; Metazoa; Chordata; Mammalia; Artiodactyla; Bovidae. The record is from RNAcentral.
GAAACCAAUACUGAGACAAAUGCUGGUGCCCAUUCAGAUCAAGGGUACUUGUUAGGGAAAAAAAAGUUUGCACCCCCAAAUGUCCUGUAUCUUAUUUAAUGUAGGAUAAAGUAGAGUGCAUUAAGACACAAUAUUGUAAUCCCUACUCUAGGCACUUGCCUUUAAACGAUGUUUUUCAGCCCUUCAGAAGGGUUCUACUACUGUCCUAUACAAUCAAGUAACUGAAAUUCUUGGGAAGACACUUUGCUCCUCAUC